UACGGAGGGGGCGAGCGUUGUUCGGAAUUACUGGGCGUAAAGCGCACGUAGGCGGCUUUGUAAGUUAGAGGUGAAAGCCCGGGGCUCAACUCCGGAAUUGCCUUUAAGACUGCAUCGCUCGAAUUGUGGAGAGGUAAGUGGAAUUCCGAGUGUAGAGGUGAAAUUCGUAGAUAUUCGGAAGAACACCAGUGGCGAAGGCGACUUACUGGACACAUAUUGACGCUGAGGUGCGAAAGCGUGGGGAGCAAACAGG
This 253-nucleotide ribosomal RNA is filed under the name uncultured bacterium. RNAcentral's name for it is "partial 16S ribosomal RNA". It matches the Rfam family "Bacterial small subunit ribosomal RNA", at positions 524 to 776 of the family's 1533-position model. The record is from RNAcentral.